GCAUCGAUGGUUCAGUGGUAGAAUGCUCGCCUGCCACGUGGGCGGCCCCGGUUCGAUUCCCGGUCGAUGAU
Molecule: transfer RNA, 71 nt
Filed under: Daphnia galeata
Lineage: Eukaryota; Metazoa; Arthropoda; Branchiopoda; Diplostraca; Daphniidae
Rfam family: tRNA
About the family: Transfer RNA (tRNA) molecules are approximately 80 nucleotides in length. Their secondary structure includes four short double-helical elements and three loops (D, anti-codon, and T loops).
Source: Rfam by way of RNAcentral